CUCAACCCCGGAAGUGCGACUGAAACUGGCAGGCUUGAGUAUGGGAGAGGGAAGUGGAAUUCCUGGUGUAGCGGUGAAAUGCGUAGAUAUCAGGAGGAACACCGGUGGCGAAGGCGACUUCCUGGACCAAUACUGACGCUGAGGCGCGAAGGCGUGGGUAGCAAGCAGGAUUAGAUACCCUGGUAGUCCACGCAGUAAACGGUGAUCACUAGGUGUUGCGGGCUUUGAUGUCUGCAGUGCCGAAGCAAACGCAUUAAGUGAUCCGCCUGGGGAGUACGGCCGCAAGGUUAAAACUCAAAGGAAUUGACGGGGGCCCGCACAAGCGGUGGAGCAUGUGGUUUAAUUCGACGCAACGCGAAGAACCUUACCUGGGUUUGACAUCUGGGGGAUGCCAUGGAGACAUGGCAGUGCCCUUCGGGGAGCCC
RNAcentral lists this ribosomal RNA (425 nucleotides) under uncultured delta proteobacterium. Its description in RNAcentral is "bacterial SSU rRNA". It matches the Rfam family "Bacterial small subunit ribosomal RNA", at positions 608 to 1029 of the family's 1533-position model. Lineage: Bacteria; Deltaproteobacteria. The record is from RNAcentral.